AAUCAACGCUGGCGGCGUGCCUAACACAUGCAAGUCGAACGAGAAGGUGACUUCGGUCACUGGAUAGUGGCGUCCGGGUGAGUAACACGUAGGUAAUCUACCUUCGGGUGGGGAAUAACGUCUCGAAAGAGACGCUAAUACCGCAUAAUGCAGCGGCACCUAAUGGUGAUUAGUUGUUAAAGCGGGGGAGUCUUCGGACCUCGCGCCUGAAGAGGAGCCUGCGGCAGAUUAGCUAGUUGGUGAGGUAAUGGCUCACCAAGGCUUCGAUCUGUAGCUGGUCUGAGAGGACGGCCAGCCACACUGGCACUGACACACGGGCCAGACUCCUACGGGAGGCAGCAGUGGGGAAUUUUGGGCAAUGGGCGAAAGCCUGACCCAGCAACGCCGCGUGAAGGAGGAAAUCCUUCGGGAUGUAAACUUCGCAAGAACGGGAAGAAUAAGUAGGGGACAAUACCCCUAUGAUGACGGUACCGUUAGUAAGCUCCGGCUAACUCCGUGCCAG
This 502-nucleotide ribosomal RNA is filed under the name uncultured bacterium. RNAcentral's name for it is "bacterial SSU rRNA". It matches the Rfam family "Bacterial small subunit ribosomal RNA", at positions 32 to 511 of the family's 1533-position model. The record is from RNAcentral.